UGGUUAAAAAGCUCGUAGUUGGAUCUCGGCGGACUGAGGGCGGUUUGCUUGCUAGUAUUACUGCCCUAUAGUCCGUAGUUUUGCCAGAGGUUUCGGGGUGCUCUUAAUCGAGUGUCCCGGGAUGCUGGCAGGUUUACUUUGAAAAAAUUAGAGUGCUCAAAGCAGGCUAUUACGCCUGAAUAUUCGUGCAUGGAAUAAUAGAAUAGGAAGUCGUUUCUAUUUUGUUGGUUUUCGGAAAUCGACUUAAUGAUUAAUAGGGACAGUCGGGGGCAUUUGUAUUCAAACGACAGAGGUGAAAUUCUUGGACCGUUUGAAGACAAACUACUGCGAAAGCAUUUGCCAAGAAUGUUUUCAUUAAUCAAGAACGAAAGUUAAAGGUUCGAAGGCGAUUAGAUACCGCCCUAGUUUUAACCAUAAACGAUGCCAGCUAGCGAUCUGCGGACGUUUUUUUUGUAGACUCCGCAGGAAGCUUCCGGGAAACCAAAGCAUUUGGGUUCCAGGGGAAGUAUGGUUGCAAAGCUGAAACUUAAAGGAAUUGACCGAAGGGCACCACCAGGAGUGGAGCCUGUGGCUUAAUUUGACUCAACACGGGAAAUCUCACCAGGCCCGGAC
This 612-nucleotide ribosomal RNA is filed under the name uncultured marine eukaryote. RNAcentral describes it as "SSU rRNA". It matches the Rfam family "Eukaryotic small subunit ribosomal RNA", at positions 616 to 1229 of the family's 1831-position model. The record is from RNAcentral.